RNAcentral lists this non-coding RNA (128 nucleotides) under Lachnospiraceae bacterium NK4A179. Its description in RNAcentral is "S10-Clostridia ribosomal protein leader". The stretch from base 1 to 101 matches the Rfam family "S10-Clostridia ribosomal protein leader". The record is from RNAcentral. Lineage: Bacteria; Bacillati; Bacillota; Clostridia; Lachnospirales; Lachnospiraceae.
UGAUAGCUAUGAAGCGUGAGGUUGCUGCCGCAACAAAAUAUAUAUAAGAAACGGCAGGUUUUCCGCGGAGCGAAUGUUGAUGGCGGGUAAUACAGAUACGAUGUAUUCCGCAAGAAUAUUAACGACAA